GAUCAUGGCUCAGGAUGAACGCUAGCUACAGGCUUAACACAUGCAAGUCGAGGGGCAGCAUGGUCUUAGCUUGCUAAGGCCGAUGGCGACCGGCGCACGGGUGAGUAACGCGUAUCCAACCCGCCUUACACUCUUGGACAGCCUUCUGAAAAGGGAGAUUAAUACAAGAUGUUAUCAUGGGUGAGCAUUUUCGCAUGAUUAAAGGUUUACCGGUGUAAGAUGGGGAUGCGUUCCA
RNAcentral lists this ribosomal RNA (235 nucleotides) under uncultured bacterium. Its description in RNAcentral is "partial 16S ribosomal RNA". It matches the Rfam family "Bacterial small subunit ribosomal RNA", at positions 15 to 240 of the family's 1533-position model. The record is from RNAcentral.